UACGUAGGCAGCAAGCGUUGUUCGGAGUUACUGGGCGUAAAGGGUGUGUAGGCGGUUAUUUAAGUUUGGUGUGAAAUCUCCCGGCUCAACCGGGAGGGUGCGCCGAAUACUGAAUGACUUGGAGUGCGGGAGAGGAAAGUGGAAUUCCUGGUGUAGCGGUGAAAUGCGUAGAUAUCGGGAGGAACACCGGUGGUGUAGACGGCUUUCUGGACCGUAACUGACGCUGAGACACGAAAGCGUGGGUAGCAAACAGG
This 254-nucleotide ribosomal RNA is filed under the name uncultured bacterium. RNAcentral describes it as "partial 16S ribosomal RNA". It matches the Rfam family "Bacterial small subunit ribosomal RNA", at positions 524 to 776 of the family's 1533-position model. The record is from RNAcentral.